AAAUAAUUUUAACUGCAAAUAUUGUUCAUAUAUUCAUAUAUUUACUUACUGUACAGCAGCUAAAGUAUCAUACAGCAAGUGGUUAUAUCACGCGUUAUAUUGCACAUGUAAACUCGCCACCUCAAGAGGCGCUUCCUCAAAGUAUCCGAGAUACUCCAGAUAUGAAAGAACGCCUCGACGAGGUGGCUCGAAUAUUGUCCCCGCGCCAAGUCCAGUGAAUUUCGAAAUGGGUAAAAACAUUUUUGGCCGGUGACGCAAUUUCAAUGUCGCUUACGUCAAGUCCGAUGCAAACCCGGCUUUCGGCACCGUUUGUAAGAGCAAAGAUCAGUGAUCCGUGCGAACUUACACGAAAAUCUAUCGAGCGACCUUUGAUCGUUCACUUCCGCCGUGUUUGUUUUGCGCGCGAAGUUCAAUGUAUUCUUAAUCGCGAUAAAUAUUGUAUGCAUCGUUAAUGGGAUUCUCACGGGACUUUGUUUACACUGGUAAUCGUCCAUAUUUCAAACGAAAUAUCGUCGGAGACAGCGGAGGUCGUCGCUUCUUUCAAGGUCACGGAAGGAAAAGGAAUUAUAGUGAAUAACGUAUGCUCGAAGGGUAAUCGUACCUCAAAUAGAAAAUAUUUUCGGACAAAGAUUGCGGCAAGAAUUUACACGAGACGUGAUAAGUUCAAGAUUAUGAAAAAAGGUGCGAGAAGUCGAAAAAUGGCAAAAUGGCUGUUCGCGCGGGAAACUACAUAAAUAUCGAUCACGAUAAUAAGUUAAUAAACACUGAGUUGCAAAGGUGAAUUACUGUUUAGCAAGGUCUCAGUGCUCUGCAUAUAGUUCUUUUCACAUGGAAUAAUACGUAAUGAUAAUUUCGCAGAUUCGAGACGCCUUGGCUAAAAUUAUAAUUGCAAAAAUAUAUACGCAUGAAUUUGUGAAUUCGUAACACGUCGUAAAUAUACAACGCACGUGACAACACGCAUUAAAUGUAUUAGAAAAUGAAGCAAUUUGUUCCAAAGACGUAAAAUAUUCCAAAUAAGCGAGAAAAAAGUCUUAGUUGUUUCUACGAAUUAAUUGUUCACGUAAUGUUGAUAAAAACAUGUACCUGCUCAGGUUACGUCUUUCUGGAAUAAUUUUAUUCCGCAUUGGUAAAUCGCACACUGUGACUUGCUAUUCUUUUUCCAGUAAUGUUGCAACAGUUUCAAAACUAUCAAGGUUAUGUACAAGUCCCUAUUGUUUGCUUUUUGUACGUGAAUAUUGAAUAAAUAUAAAUGAUGUAUAAAUCGUGUAUAACAUUACCUUUACACGAAAUCAAAUGAUUAUAUUUCGAUAAAAAAUUGAUGUCGAAUACAAGGUUAAUUAUAUGACGAUGUGUUAAUUAUAGGUUAACUAUUCGUCCAGCACUGGCCAUUAAUGGCCCUCGUGUCAUUCAACGAUGUUAAACUUAUGUUCGCGUGGGACUAUAGUGGGAUUGACGUUUAGUACUCUAACAAACGAAGGACGAACUUCUGAGUCGUUUCUAAAUUAUUGUAGCGCCGAGUAAACUGGAAGUUUAGACACGUAACUUUCGAACAAAACACAUCGCGAUCGUAAAUCGUUCACUUAGAAUCGAACGACAAGUUAAAAGCUUCUGUAAAGAGCGGUGGUCGUUGGGUUCGGUAAAGAGCUGUAAAACCAAUGGUCUUUAUUCUAGAAAACGAGCGGAAAAUUAUAGCGUGCGACUGAAUUGUCGGAGAACGGUAAAACGGAAGCUUAUCUCGAACGAAAACGGCCUUAACUAUACUCGUUUCGCUAUUAUUCUGUAGAACGGAUCUGGAUAGCUCGUGUCAUUCGAUCCGCGGACGUCUUCGGUUGUUUUCGGGAAUUUACGCUUGCUCUCGAGCACCUACUGAUUUUUAGUGCAUAUGGGUGCCACUGGUUGCAUUCGGCUGUUUACGGAACCUUUCGGCAUUCACGAUUAAUAUCGUGCACUCACGAUUGUUUUCGAACACUUCCGAUUAUGGCAAGAAUACACUCGGCUUAUUUAGAGAAGGACUUCCUCAUCGAUUUUUACAAAAUUUAAGGAAUUUGAAUAUUGUAGAACAGGUUAACAUUUUGGGGACCUAUAAAUAUGGAAAUCUAGGGUUUAAUGGUCUCGUAAUUUUGAAGCUUAUUUGAUUACAAAGGAAUUUGUGUAUCUAAGAAUUUCGUGCCCUAACAUUUGACGAUCUAAGGUAUUAAACUUGUCUAAUAUACAUACAAGUAUAUCGUGUUUGAAAAAUUUGACAAAUAAGGUUGACACAAAAGCUGCAGUGUGUUAGAGAAAUUCGAACGGUACCUUUGUGUGGCAUGGCCAGUGAAUGGCUGAAAGAAGAAUCGAAGACGUCGUUUUCCACAUGGCGCACGACCCAAUUCGUCGAGAUCUUAUGUAACCGACAACAUUGAGUCAUUCAUGCUCAGCUGAUCGCAAUACACGGUUGCAAUUAAUCCGUGUUAACUUGACAAUUUCAUUAAAAAUAAUUGACGGCUUACUAUUUCGCUGUCUAGAGGAUGCCUCAUAAUCUCCUAUGCUGGGGUUACAAUUUGAAGCCGAAAAUUCCUUCUCAAGUUCUUUGGAAUAUUAUCAUGAUUGUUGAAGAUGGAAUAGUUGAACAAUACAAGAACCGCCCUGAUUAUUUUAUCCAGGCAAUUCACGUUCCAGCAGAGACAAACGAGCGAAAGUUUCAAGAAAGAAGAUGAAACGGAUGUAUAAUGUUCGAAGGAUCAAUCGUGGAGUCCGACCGAUAACAGUGACGGUAGAAGAAUUUGGCCUUGGCCCACUGUUUCAGCCAAGUGUAUACGGGCACGAGGAUCAGAAGAAAAAAAUCGAGCGGAGAAUGUGGAGGAAAGGGACUUCCGGUUGCUGACACGGUGACUACCAGACUGAAGCGCUUCAUAAUUACUUUUUCGGUUGUUGGUUCUUCGAGUUCUCAAACGCUUCAAAUGCAAGUGAGCUGCUUUCGAAACAAGCAAAUCCAAGAUAAAAACUUUUUAGCUCAUAUUUAUACGCAAAGAAAGCAGAGGAGCUUCGUUAAAAUCGAUGGAAAAAAUGUUAAUAAAUUGGUAAAUUUACUUUGUUGGACAAAAUAUACUAAAGCAGCUAAUAAUACAAGAAAUCAACAUUACUUUACAAAGCAGAACUGAAUGUUACAAAUGUAACAUCAAGCAGGAAAAAUAAGAAAGUGAAGCACAAUAAAGAAGUAUAUAUUUUAUUCAAAAGAUUACAUAGGUAAAGAAAGCAGUAUCAAGUUGUGCAAAACUAUUGCAUAGAACUGAUUGAUUAUCACCGAUUCAUUGAAUAACACGUGUUAUCAUACGUGUAUGUCAAUACAGCUGUAUCAACGAAAGACUAUCUAUGUCAAAGAUACUUUAGAACAAAAGCGGUGUGAUCGAAUCGACAUAAGAUACCUGACUAUCUAUAUUAGUAUCUACAAGUUGUUUAUGCAAGUUAUAAACUUUCCUAAUUGUCAAUACCGAGACUAAUAAGCUUUCCUGAUUGUCAAUAACAAUCAUAUCAAAGUUAUCUACAAUUGAUUCGACAAAGGUGUGCCAAAUCCCCAGAAGGGUUAAACGAAGUAAAAUAUCGACAUAGUCAUCUGGACACCUCUGCCUAUAAAAUAGUUUGGUCGGUUCGAUGAUCGAACCUCCAGUUGAUCGUGACGAUUACGUUGUCGAAGAAAGAGAGAGAAGAAGAAAAGGAAUUUCUGAUCGAGACGAAGCCCGGCCCGAGAGAGAAAGUUUCGGCGUCGAGAGGUGAAUAACGCGGCAUCAAAAUGAUCGCUAGUCCGUGCAAUAUUCGUCUAACCGCCACGACGAAUCGAGCAGAAUUACAUCGCGAUGAAUAAUUAAACUUGAUAACGAUCGACACUUAAUUAUUGCGGCGUAACAUGUAAUCCUCGAAAAUUUCGACCGCUGUCGAAACUGUCUAGUGUCGAAACUGCAGGAAGUGUGUUCCUUUUACUCGAAUGCGUGAAAAAUGAUUUCUGACUAGGUGUCUAGAAAAGGUAUUUGUUUCAAGAAUCCUUAAAUUCUCUUACUUAUUCAAUUUGCAAAAUGGAUCGAGAGGUUCUCAAUAAAAUAUAUUGCAGCAGUA
Megachile rotundata (alfalfa leafcutting bee) is the source of this 4089-nucleotide long non-coding RNA. The record is from RefSeq and is a predicted model, not a curated record. NCBI's taxonomy places the organism in Eukaryota, Metazoa, Arthropoda, Insecta, Hymenoptera, Megachilidae.